Molecule: ribosomal RNA, 460 nt
Filed under: uncultured bacterium
Lineage: Bacteria
Description: partial 16S ribosomal RNA
Rfam family: Bacterial small subunit ribosomal RNA
Source: RNAcentral
CCUACGGGAGACAGCAGUGAGGAAUAUUGGUCAAUGGCCGGAAGGCUGAACCAGCCAUGCCGCGUGAAGGUCAGUGCCCUAUGGGCGUUAAACUUCUUUUGUGCGGGAGCAAUAAUGGUCACGUGUGGCCAGACGAGAGUACUGUACGAAUAAGCAUCGGCUAACUCCGUGCCAGCAGCCGCGGUAAUACGGGGGAUGCAAGCGUUAUCCGGAUUUAUUGGGUUUAAAGGGUGCGUAGGCUGUGAGGUAAGUCAGCGGUGAAAUGCCCCCGCUCAACGGGGUGAAGUGCCAUUGAUACUGCCUGGCUGGAAUGCGGAUGCCGUGGGAGGAAUGUGUGGUGUAGCGGUGAAAUGCAUAGAUAUCACACAGAACACCGAUUGCGAAGGCAUCUCACGAAUCCGCGAUUGACGCUGAUGCACGAAAGCGUGGGUAUCAAACAGGAUUAGAUACCCGGGUAGUC